AUACGGCAACAUAUUUGGCCAUUGUGUGGAGCCCUGUGUAGCACUGUAGUCGCUGUAAAUCCUGAAAUAAAAGGAAAACAUGAACACAUGUGCUGGGAAUUUUACUGGAAGCUCAGAGGCUGGAAUAUAAUCACCGAGAUUUUAGAGGAUUUAUUAAUUAGAAUCUACGAGGACAAGAUCAGAAAAAAACCAAACCAAACAAAAUAAAAAAAAGUUAUGUUAUAGGUAAA
Molecule: long non-coding RNA, 230 nt
Organism: Empidonax traillii (willow flycatcher)
Lineage: Eukaryota; Metazoa; Chordata; Aves; Passeriformes; Tyrannidae
Exons: 3
Source: RefSeq, a predicted model, not a curated record